GGCUUAGAGUUUGAUCAUGGCUCAGGAUGAACGCUGGCGGCGUGCCUAACACAUGCAAGUCGAGCGAAGCACUUUACUUUGAAUCUUCGGAUGAAGAGUUUUGUGACUGAGCGGCGGACGGGUGAGUAACGCGUGGGUAACCUGCCUCACACAGGGGGAUAACAGUUAGAAAUGACUGCCAAUACCGCAUAAGACCACAGCACCGCAUGGUGCAGGGGUAAAAACUCCGGUGGUGUGAGAUGGACCCGCGUCUGAUUAGGUAGUUGGUGAGGUAACGGCUCACCAAGCCGACGAUCAGUAGCCGACCUGAGAGGGUGACCGGCCACAUUGGGACUGAGACACGGCCCAAACUCCUACGGGAGGCAGCAGUGGGGAAUAUUGCACAAUGGGGGAAACCCUGAUGCAGCGACGCCGCGUGAGCGAAGAAGUAUUUCGGUAUGUAAAGCUCUAUCAGCAGGGAAGAAACUGACGGUACCUGACUAAGAAGCACCGGCUAAAUACGUGCCAGCAGCCGCGGUAAUACGUAUGGUGCAAGCGUUAUCCGGAUUUACUGGGUGUAAAGGGAGCGUAGACGGAUAGGCAAGUCUGGAGUGAAAGCCCGGGGCUCAACCCCGGGACUGCUUUGGAAACUGUUUAUCUAGAGUGCUGGAGAGGUAAGUG
This 660-nucleotide ribosomal RNA is filed under the name uncultured organism. Its description in RNAcentral is "bacterial SSU rRNA". It matches the Rfam family "Bacterial small subunit ribosomal RNA", at positions 1 to 663 of the family's 1533-position model. The record is from RNAcentral.